GGGGACGUGCCGGAACUGGCAGACGGGCCUGACUUAGGAUCAGGUGCCGAAAGGCGUGUGGGUUCAAAUCCCACCGUCCCCA
Molecule: transfer RNA, 82 nt
Filed under: Chloroflexota bacterium
Lineage: Bacteria; Bacillati; Chloroflexota
Description: tRNA-Leu
Rfam family: tRNA
About the family: Transfer RNA (tRNA) molecules are approximately 80 nucleotides in length. Their secondary structure includes four short double-helical elements and three loops (D, anti-codon, and T loops).
Source: RNAcentral